GACGCGGUUGGAUGUUCUUUGCGAGGCUGCUGAGUCAGAAGCCCGGACGGGCCAGCUGCAGUCUUAAUGAACUGACUCAGGAAGGAAGUGCUUACAGAGAUGGUGUACCGUGCAGUCAGUGGGUGGGAGCAAAUGUCGGCUAGAAGACCUGAGCCUUGGGAAGGGGCGGCCUGAUUCCCGGGGAAGAGCAUUGGCUGGAAGUCUGGAGGCCUGGGCUGGUCUCUGCUCUGCCACUAACUUGCUGCAUGACUUUGAGCCAGAAAAAGAGGGAUCACUCACCCAUUCUCCGUCAGAUACUAAGCUGCUGACUGCCUCAAGGACGAACUUCUCUCCCUUGGCUUUCCAGGCUUGGCCAGAUAGGUAGAGAGAACAUGGACGAACAUUUACCGUGUCAGGCAUGGAGCAGAUUGCCUUAUAUAGUUUUCUCAUCUAAUUCCCAGGACCACCCUCUGAAGCAGGAACUAUUGUUACCGCUGCUUUAUAGACAAAGCGACCUAAGGAACCAAAAGAGAGAGAGAGAGCACGAGGCAGGGAGAGGAGCAGAGGGAGACAGAGAGAAUCUUAAGCAGGCUCCAUGCUCCGGGCAGAGCCCGAUGCAGGGCUCAAUCCCACGAUGCUGGGAUCACGAUCUGAGCUGAAAUCAAGAGUCAGACGCUCAACUGACUGAGCCACCCAGGCGCCCUGGCACUAUCGUCUCUAUCCUUGUCUCCCCAGCAUCCAGUUCAGCACCUGGCCCGCAGCAGAUACUCAGUGAAUGUUGAUUUGAGCAAAUGAACUGAUAGAAAGAAAUGUCUCCUGUAAUUGCUUCUUACCAAUCUAGCCAACAACGGCAGCAUUGUGGAUGGAGGCACCAGAGAACACAUCAUCUCUGGCUUUUUGCUGCAGAUCUACAUGGAGAAUCACACAUGGGGCGACAAAGAUUCUCAAGGCCAGGUAGGGCUUUGCAUUGGAAGCUUGAAAAUGCAAUGUCUGGCUUUGAAGAAGAUGUAUACCGCAAAUAAUUUGCUAUGCGUUGAUAACGGAAAUUUUCAUUUUCCAUUGGCUAAUAGAAAAUAAACAAUGACUUUUAAAUUAUCUUCCUUUUAGU
RNAcentral lists this long non-coding RNA (1087 nucleotides) under Felis catus (domestic cat). RNAcentral's name for it is "lncRNA (ENSFCAG00000046178.2)". The record is from RNAcentral. Lineage: Eukaryota; Metazoa; Chordata; Mammalia; Carnivora; Felidae.